AUUCCAGCUCCAGUAGCGUAUAUUAAAGUUGUUGCAGUUAAAAAGCUCGUAGUUGGAUUUCUGGUUUCACAGAACUGGCCUACUUCCUCAAGGUCGUGUGCGCCGUGUUUUGUGUACCAUCCUUCUAGAAAUUGUGUUCCAUCCCUUCACUGGGAUAGAUCCGAGAUCUAGAUCUUUUACUUUGAAGAAAUUAGAGUGUUCAAAGCAGGCUCGCGCUGUGAAUACAUUAGCAUGGAAUAAUAAUUUAGGACUUGGUAUCCUAUUUUGUUGGUUUUCAGGAUCUAAGUAAUGAUUGAUAGGGAUAGUUGGGGGUGCUAGUAUUUUGCGGCCAGAGGUGAAAUUCUGUGAUUCGCGAAAGACUAACUUAUGCGAAAGCAUUCACCAAGGAUGUCUUCAUCA
Molecule: ribosomal RNA, 399 nt
Filed under: Cercozoa sp.
Lineage: Eukaryota; Cercozoa
Description: partial small subunit ribosomal RNA
Rfam family: Eukaryotic small subunit ribosomal RNA
Source: RNAcentral